This 493-nucleotide ribosomal RNA is filed under the name uncultured bacterium. RNAcentral's name for it is "partial 16S ribosomal RNA". It matches the Rfam family "Bacterial small subunit ribosomal RNA", at positions 30 to 507 of the family's 1533-position model. The record is from RNAcentral.
AGUGAACGCUGGCGGUAGGCCUAACACAUGCAAGUCGAACGGCAGCACAGUAAGCGCUUGCUCUUACGGGUGGCGAGUGGCGGACGGGUGAGGAGUACAUCGGAAUCUACUUUUUCGUGGGGGAUAACGUAGGGAAACUUACGCUAAUACCGCAUACGACCUACGGGUGAAAGCAGGGGAUCUUCGGACCUUUCGCGAUUGAAUGAGCCGGCGUCGGUUUUGUUAGUUGGCGGGGUAAAGGACCACCAAGGAGACGAUACGUAGCUGGGCUGAGAGGGGGAGAGGCCCCAGUGGGACUGAGACACGGCCCCAACUCCCACGGGAGGGCGCAGGAGGGAAUAUUCGGCAAUAGGGGCAAGGCUGAGCGAGAAACGCCGCGUGAGGGAAGAAGGGUCUCGGAUCUUAAAAAGCUGUUUGUAGAGAAGAACGAUGGUGAGAGUGGAAAGCCCAUUAAGUGACGGUAACUAAAAAGAAAGGGACGGCUAACUACGUG